GGGCGGAUGGCGGAAUUGGUAGACGCACUAGACUCAAAAUCUAGCGAAGAGAUUCGUGAGAGUUCGACCCUCUCUCUGCCCA
RNAcentral lists this transfer RNA (82 nucleotides) under Pseudanabaenococcus habilitatus PCC 7502. Its description in RNAcentral is "tRNA-Leu (CAA) (tRNA-Leu-CAA-1-1)". It matches the Rfam family "tRNA". Rfam says of the family: Transfer RNA (tRNA) molecules are approximately 80 nucleotides in length. Their secondary structure includes four short double-helical elements and three loops (D, anti-codon, and T loops). Lineage: Bacteria; Bacillati; Cyanobacteriota; Cyanophyceae; Pseudanabaenales; Pseudanabaenaceae. The record is from Rfam by way of RNAcentral.